AAGGCUUUAAGUUAACUAAACUAAUAGCCUUCAAAGCUAUAAAUAAAAAAUCAUUUUUUAAGCCUUA
Molecule: transfer RNA, 67 nt
Filed under: Diestrammena japanica
Lineage: Eukaryota; Metazoa; Arthropoda; Insecta; Orthoptera; Rhaphidophoridae
Description: tRNA-Trp
Source: RNAcentral